AACGAACGCUGGCGGCGUGCUUAAGACAUGCAAGUCGUGCGAGAAAGGAACCUUCGGGUUCCAAGUACAGCGGCGCACGGGUGAGUAACGCGUGGGUAAUCUGCCUUUGGGUCUGGGAUAACCUCGGGAAACUGGGGCUAAUACCGGAUAAGACCACAGGGUCCUCGGGCCUGGCGGAAAAAGGUGGCCUCUCCUUGGAAGCUACCGCCCGGAGAUGAGCCCGCGUCCCAUUAGCUUGUUGGUGAGGUAAGAGCUCACCAAGGCAUCGACGGGUAGCUGGUCUGAGAGGACGAUCAGCCACACUGGGACUGAGACACGGCCCAGACUCCUACGGGAGGCAGCAGUAGGGAAUCUUGCGCAAUGGGGGAAACCCUGACGCAGCGAUGCCGCGUGGGUGAAGAAGGCUUUCGGGUCGUAAAGCCCUGUCAAGCGGGAAGAACAGCUUUAUGGUGAAUAGCCAUAAGGUGUGACGGUACCGCUGAAGGAAGCACCGGCUAACUCCGUG
This 505-nucleotide ribosomal RNA is filed under the name uncultured bacterium. RNAcentral's name for it is "bacterial SSU rRNA". It matches the Rfam family "Bacterial small subunit ribosomal RNA", at positions 29 to 507 of the family's 1533-position model. The record is from RNAcentral.